This is a long non-coding RNA of Gasterosteus aculeatus aculeatus (three-spined stickleback), 1104 nucleotides long. NCBI's taxonomy places the organism in Eukaryota, Metazoa, Chordata, Actinopteri, Perciformes, Gasterosteidae. The record is from Ensembl.
GUAACACUGGCACAAAGGUCCCCUUUUCCUUGCAAGGUAAAGAAGACUUUUCCCCUUUUUUUUCCGUCUGUGUUUAAUGCAGAUGAGGCUUUUCUAUUCACAUGACAUUCAUGAACGCACUCCCACACAGAAGAAAACACACCGUGAAACCUCCCUGACAAAAACAACCCCUCUGACUCAUCACAACAGCUGUUAGCAUCCAAAAAGCCUUACCUUCCUCUAUAAAGAUAUCCACUCAUUUGUCAGCUGAAUGGAAAAAUAUCUAUAAAAGAAUAAAACCCUUUCCAGCUGUUCCAACAGCCGCUCUGCCAGUGUCUCCCCAACCGCCAGGUGAGUCAGUCCGACUGCGUCAAAAGGACCUGAACUCAUCGGUUUAUCUGCCACCCGGCGAGCAGAGCUCCAGCAGACAGCCAGACGGGGGCCAAAACACCACGCAGAGACGAAGCGCCGCGAGGAUUUUCCCGGGCCGCUACUUUUUCGCCGCCUCAGACCCGGAGCAGAGUGACCACAGUCAGGCUUGUUUGGCCGCGCCGCUCCCAGAGGAACGAGCCAAGCACCCGGUCGGUCAUUUGACGUGGCAGAGAGCAGCAGCGGGAGAGAGGAGGUAAACACCAGUGGGGAGCAAAGAAAUGCCGUUCAGAAGACAAACAGUGCAGCCGCAUUGACGUGAUUCAAGCAGACAGGCAGCACAUUGAGGCCGGUGGAGGGAGCUGACCAUCAAAGACCCCGGCCGGCGGUCCCAGAGACUGGAUCAACGUCUAUGGAAAUUCCUCUUCAGUGCUUCUCCAAACAGGAGGACUCGUUCACAUACCUGCCUCACAUUCCUCAAUGUGCAGCCGGCGGCGGGAGAGCCGCCCUGCAGGUCUGAGCAGCGGAGACAACAGAGCUUCUGAGGUUGAACCGAGUCGCUCCCCUCUGCGCAGCCGAACGCGCCACGCAGUCCUUCCCUCGCCGAACAGGAGGGGAAAAUUAGAUUCUGGCUUUGAGAAAAGCGUGCUAGUUAAUCACCUCAGGAGCUUCAAAAAGUAGAUAGAUGUAAGACGGACAUCACUUUUGUGGUUAAGCGGGCUGCAACUCAUAGACUUCUGUAGCCUGUGACGAGUG